Molecule: ribosomal RNA, 253 nt
Filed under: uncultured bacterium
Lineage: Bacteria
Description: partial 16S ribosomal RNA
Rfam family: Bacterial small subunit ribosomal RNA
Source: RNAcentral
GACGAACCGUGCGAACGUUAUUCGGAAUCACUGGGCUUAAAGGGCGCGUAGGCGGGCCGCCCGGUCCGGGGUGAAAUCCUCCAGCUCAACUGGAGAAGUGCCUUGGAUACCGGCGGCCUCGAGGGAGGCAGGGGCGUGCGGAACUUCGGGUGGAGCGGUGAAAUGCGUAGAUAUCACUUGGAACGCCAAUGGUGAAGACAGCUCGCUGGGGGUGUCCUGACGCUGAGGCGCGAAAGCCAGGGGAGCGAACGGG